RNAcentral lists this ribosomal RNA (490 nucleotides) under uncultured bacterium. RNAcentral describes it as "partial 16S ribosomal RNA". It matches the Rfam family "Bacterial small subunit ribosomal RNA", at positions 30 to 507 of the family's 1533-position model. The record is from RNAcentral.
AUUGAACGCUGGCGGCAGGCCUAACACAUGCAAGUCGAACGGUAACAGGAAGAAGCUUGCUUCUUUGCUGACGAGUGGCGGACGGGUGAGUAAUGUCUGGGAAACUGCCUGAUGGAGGGGGAUAACUACUGGAAACGGUAGCUAAUACCGCAUAACGUCGCAAGACCAAAGAGGGGGACCUUCGUGCCUCUUGCCAUCGGAUGUGCCCAGAUGGGAUUAGCUAGUAGGUGGGGUAACGGCUCACCUAGGCGACGAUCCCUAGCUGGUCUGAGAGGAUGACCAGCCACACUGGAACUGAGACACGGUCCAGACUCCUACGGGAGGCAGCAGUGGGGAAUAUUGCACAAUGGGCGCAAGCCUGAUGCAGCCAUGCCGCGUGUAUGAAGAAGGCCUUCGGGUUGUAAAGUACUUUCAGCGGUGAGGAAGGGAGUAAAGUUAAUACCUUUGCUCAUUGACGUUACCCGCAGAAGAAGCACCGGCUAACUCCGUG